AUGGUCAUUACUUUGUGGGUCAUCUGGACGACGAGGGGCAAAACAAUCCAUGAUAGCAUUUUUCAGAGCCCCAAACAAAUCUCUCGAUUCGUUGAGUCUCACCUCUUCGAACUAGGAACAACGGAAGCUAGAACUGCUCGGGUGCAACCAUCUUCGGUUAGCAGGGAGACGAGGAGGCGCUGGAUCCAUCCCAGUCCGACACAUGCAAAGGUAAAUGUUGACGGCGCCUUCUCACAGAAUGGUAGUGUUGGAGCGGCAGCAGCCUUCUGCAGGAACGAACAUGGCGAUUACUUGGGGGCUUUUGUCUUAGUUGUGGCAAAUGUGACCGACCCAGCUAACCUGAAAGCAUUGGCAUGUCGAGAAGGUCUCUCUCUGGCCGAAGACCUCAACCUCUCAAAGGUGCAUUUGGCCACUCAUUGUCGGGGGGAUUGGUGGAAGAUAUCAAGAAAGGUUCCAAUGCAAGCUACAGUGCGAUUAUUCAAGAGAUUCAAACAAGGCAGACAACUUUUACGAGUUGCUUUUUUUUUCUUUUGA
RNAcentral lists this ribosomal RNA (534 nucleotides) under Triticum aestivum (bread wheat). RNAcentral's name for it is "partial small subunit ribosomal RNA". Lineage: Eukaryota; Viridiplantae; Streptophyta; Magnoliopsida; Poales; Poaceae. The record is from RNAcentral.